Molecule: ribosomal RNA, 495 nt
Filed under: uncultured bacterium
Lineage: Bacteria
Description: partial 16S ribosomal RNA
Rfam family: Bacterial small subunit ribosomal RNA
Source: RNAcentral
AUGAACGCUGGCGGCGUGCCUAAUACAUGCAAGUCGCGCGAACGGACGAGAAGCUUGCUUCUCUGAUGUUAGCGGCGGACGGGUGAGUAACACGUGGAUAACCUACCUAUAAGACUGGGAUAACUUCGGGAAACCGGAGCUAAUACCGGAUAAUAUUUUGAACCGCAUGGUUCAAAAGUGAAAGACGGUCUUGCUGUCACUUAUAGAUGGAUCCGCGCUGCAUUAGCUAGUUGGUAAGGUAACGGCUUACCAAGGCAACGAUGCAUAGCCGACCUGAGAGGGUGAUCGGCCACACUGGAACUGAGACACGGUCCAGACUCCUACGGGAGGCAGCAGUAGGGAAUCUUCCGCAAUGGGCGAAAGCCUGACGGAGCAACGCCGCGUGAGUGAUGAAGGUCUUCGGAUCGUAAAACUCUGUUAUUAGGGAAGAACAUAUGUGUAAGUAACUGUGCACAUCUUGACGGUACCUAAUCAGAAAGCCACGGCUAACUACGU